CAGCCGCCGCGGGAAAACGUAGGGUGCGAGCGUUAAUCGGAAUUACUGGACGUAAAGCGUGCGCAGGCGGUUAUAUAAGACAGAUGUGAAAUCCCCGGGCUCAACCUGGGACCUGCAUUUGUGACUGUAUAGCUAGAGUACGGUAGAGGGGGAUGGAAUUCCGCGUGUAGCAGUGAAAUGCGUAGAUAUGCGGAGGAACACCGAUGGCGAAGGCAAUCCCCUGGACCUGUACUGACGCUCAUGCACGAAAGCGUGGGGAGCAAACAGGAUUAGAUACCCCGGUAGUCCCUGUCUCUUAUAC
This 301-nucleotide ribosomal RNA is filed under the name uncultured bacterium. RNAcentral's name for it is "partial 16S ribosomal RNA". It matches the Rfam family "Bacterial small subunit ribosomal RNA", at positions 509 to 807 of the family's 1533-position model. The record is from RNAcentral.